This 77-nucleotide transfer RNA is filed under the name Faecalibacterium prausnitzii. RNAcentral's name for it is "tRNA-OTHER". RNAcentral also lists the same sequence under 1 other name. The record is from RNAcentral. Lineage: Bacteria; Bacillati; Bacillota; Clostridia; Eubacteriales; Oscillospiraceae.
GCGGGUGUAGUAAGGAAGUUGCCUGCCGUCCUGAUCCCCCAGCGGCAGGCAAGCCGGUUCGAUUCCGGCCACCCGUG